UGAAGAUAAUUUUAGUGUACUCAGAAAUUAUUUAUAUGAAUGUACUGAGAAGAUGCUUUUGAUAAUAGUUCUGUUUUACAGUUUCGUCUCAAUUUAGGCAAAGCACCUGCCCAAACUUGAAACUUCAAAGUACUCCUCCCAAAGUGGUCCAUCCAGUAUUUAUUCGCCUCUGUUCCAUAAAAGGCAACUUUGAUGACUUCCACUAACAUAGAUGGAGGAUGUAUAGCCCGUUUCAAUGAGACACCCAGGGCCCUGAGUAUUGUGGUUGGAGUUCUGGCUUAAAUUCAGACACUGGAAAACACAAGUAAUAAGAAGACCAUUUUGAGAAGAGCAGAUAGUCGCCUUAAGAAAAUCCCUGUCAUAUGCACUCUGGGAUUUGGACUCAAAUCCUAAUUAUACAGUCUGUAAUGAUGAUGAGAACAGGAAAUUCGGACAGGAAAAUGGGUCGCUUCUUAGGCUUCCUGCCAGACUUUGAAAACCACCAUAACAAGUUGUUUCUGCCAAAGUGGGUAUGA
RNAcentral lists this long non-coding RNA (515 nucleotides) under Canis lupus familiaris (dog). RNAcentral's name for it is "lncRNA (ENSCAFG00000051756.1)". The record is from RNAcentral. Lineage: Eukaryota; Metazoa; Chordata; Mammalia; Carnivora; Canidae.